GGUGUAGCUCAGUGGUAGAGCGCUUGCCUAGCAUGUGUGAAGCCCUGGGUUUGAUUCUCAGCACC
RNAcentral lists this transfer RNA (65 nucleotides) under Ictidomys tridecemlineatus (thirteen-lined ground squirrel). RNAcentral's name for it is "Spermophilus tridecemlineatus (thirteen-lined ground squirrel) tRNA". It matches the Rfam family "tRNA". From Rfam's summary of the family: Transfer RNA (tRNA) molecules are approximately 80 nucleotides in length. Lineage: Eukaryota; Metazoa; Chordata; Mammalia; Rodentia; Sciuridae. The record is from Rfam by way of RNAcentral. RNAcentral also lists the same sequence under 1 other name.